CUUGACAUCCAGCGAACUUGGCAGAGAUGCCUUGGUGCCUUCGGGAACGCUGAGACAGGUGCUGCAUGGCUGUCGUCAGCUCGUGUUGUGAAAUGUUGGGUUAACGUCCGCAACGAGCGCAACCCUUAUCCUUUGUUGCCAGCGAUUCGGUCGGGAACUCAAAGGAGACUGCCGGUGAUAAACCGGAGGAAGGUGGGGAUGACGUUAAGUCAUCAUGGCCCUUACGAGUAGGGCUACACACGUGCUACAAUGGCGCAUACAAAGAGAAGCGACCUCGCGAGAGCAAGCGGACCUCAUAAAGUGCGUCGUAGUCCGGAUCGGAGUCUGCAACUCGACUCCGUGAAGUCGGAAUCGCUAGUAAUCGUGGAUCAGAAUGCCACGGUGAAUACGUUCCCGGGCCUUGUACACACCGCCCGUCACACCAUGGGAGUGGGUUGCAAAAGAAGUAGGUAGCUUAACCUCCGGGAGGGCGCUUACCACUUUGUGAUUCAUGACUGGGGUGAAGUCGUAACAAGGUAGGCGUAGCGAG
Molecule: ribosomal RNA, 529 nt
Filed under: uncultured bacterium
Lineage: Bacteria
Description: bacterial SSU rRNA
Rfam family: Bacterial small subunit ribosomal RNA
Source: RNAcentral